This is a long non-coding RNA of Motacilla alba alba, 233 nucleotides long. RefSeq lists it as uncharacterized. The transcript is spliced from 3 exons. NCBI's taxonomy places the organism in Eukaryota, Metazoa, Chordata, Aves, Passeriformes, Motacillidae. The record is from RefSeq and is a predicted model, not a curated record.
GGGACAGCGCGGGGACAGCGAGGGGACAGCGGGGACACGGCGGGGACGGCGAGGGGACAACGGAGGCGACAGCGGCGAGCGAGGAAGGAGCCGGGGCGGCCCCACCCCCCCCCGGCCCCCCCGAGGGGCGGCGCGCAGCGGCGAUGACGUGGCGCCCCCUGGCGGCCUCCGCGGCGCACCUGGCGGGGACCCUGGCGCUGCUGCUGGGGACAGUGACGCAGGUGGCACAGGUG